CUCUCGGCAGCUCAGGGAUCUUAAUUAGGAAAGGACCUUCAGAAGCCCGCCUGCUGAGGGAUGGGAUCCCUAGAAAACGCCCCUUCAGCCCGGCACUCUCCCUACAGGGUCAUGGCGGAGAGCGCCCUCUAUCGACAGCGGCUGGAGGUCAUCGCUGAGAAGCGGAGGCUGCAGGAGGAGAUCAGCGCUGCGCGUCGCGAGCUGGAGGAGGAGAAACUCCGUGUGGAGCGGCUCAAGAGGAAAUCUCUCCGAGAACGUUGGCUCAUGGAUGCGGCGGCU
Molecule: long non-coding RNA, 279 nt
Filed under: Cricetulus griseus (Chinese hamster)
Lineage: Eukaryota; Metazoa; Chordata; Mammalia; Rodentia; Cricetidae
Description: lncRNA (ENSCGRG00000025051.1)
Source: RNAcentral